This 468-nucleotide ribosomal RNA is filed under the name uncultured bacterium. RNAcentral's name for it is "partial 16S ribosomal RNA". It matches the Rfam family "Bacterial small subunit ribosomal RNA", at positions 28 to 507 of the family's 1533-position model. The record is from RNAcentral.
GACGAACGCUGGCGGCGUGCUUAACACAUGCAAGUCGAACGGAAAGGCCCUGCUUUUGUGGGGUGCUCGAGUGGCGAACGGGUGAGUAACACGUGAGUAACCUGCCCUUGACUUUGGGAUAACUUCAGGAAACUGGGGCUAAUACCGGAUAGGAGCUCCUGCUGCAUGGUGGGGGUUGGAAAGUUUCGGCGGUUGGGGAUGGACUCGCGGCUUAUCAGCUUGUUGGUGGGGUAGUGGCUUACCAAGGCUUUGACGGGUAGCCGGCCUGAGAGGGUGACCGGCCACAUUGGGACUGAGAUACGGCCCAGACUCCUACGGGAGGCAGCAGUGGGGAAUAUUGCACAAUGGGCGGAAGCCUGAUGCAGCAACGCCGCGUGCGGGAUGACGGCCUUCUGGUUGUAAACCGCUUUCGCCUGUGACGAAGCGUGAGUGACGGUAAUGGGUAAAGAAGCACCGGAUAACUACGUG